UUUUCACUCCUUAUCCCCUACAUUUCUCCUUCCCCAACCAUGUUCUCUGUUUCAACAAAGCUACCCAGUCUCUCUUUCACCAAAAACCCUAAUCCCCAAAUCCCAGUUUCACCCAAAAUUCAAUAUAAUAAGCCAUUUAUUCGAUGCGAUAUAACAAGGUCUAAAUGAACAUAUGCCAAUCGGAGAAAAGGAAGCUUAAAUCAAUAUAACAUAUUAAACCAUUUAUCCGAGGUCCGUUUCGAGGUGUCUGAAUGGUGGUAAUUCGGUUGUUGUUUCUGGAGGUGGUGAUAGUGUGAAUUUGUUCUAAGAGGCGUGGGAGGUCUGUGUCUAAGAGAAAUUACGGUGAUGAUGUUGGUAGUGCAGCAAGGGUUGUUUCGGAUAGUGAUAGUGAUUGAGGAAUAGGCGGUCUAUUUCGGUUGUUCAGCAUCAGAUUAGUGGCUCCGAGCAUCCAAUAGCAUCAAAGGAUUGGCAACCCUUAUCAUCAAGCAGUGGUGCAGCUUCAAUAGGGCUUUUACAAGUUAUGAAAUCUAUGGUGAUUACCCUAGAUAUCUAGCGUUAGAGAGACGGUUCCAGCCAGUUAAGAAAGGGCCUCAAUUUUUUCCGGCUUUGGGCCUCCAAAUAGGUUGAGCCGACCCUAUUGAUUCAUUAAAAUUGUGUAUCAAAGUUACGAAGUAGCAGAUAGAUCAACUAAAGUUAAAGGAAUAUAAUUGCAUGCAUAGAAAGUUUGACUAAACCAGAGUUUAAUGAGAUGUUUACCAGCUGUUUCCAAAGUUUAGACUGUCGUGAGUGCUACUAUUUUUGAAGUUGAAGUUUGGAUGCAUUUUGAUGAUGAAAGAUGUGUUUGCUUUGAAUAUUGGUUUUUAGGUGAAACAAGAUGAACAAACAAAAGUGUUGGCUUAUAUAACUGUCCCAAAGAAGCUCUGUAAUAGUUGUUGGAAUGGCUGGACUGCUUGAUUAUUUAUUUAUAUAACAUCAUUUUUUCAUAUU
This 987-nucleotide long non-coding RNA is filed under the name Helianthus annuus (common sunflower). Its description in RNAcentral is "hypothetical non coding rna". Lineage: Eukaryota; Viridiplantae; Streptophyta; Magnoliopsida; Asterales; Asteraceae. The record is from RNAcentral.